RNAcentral lists this ribosomal RNA (429 nucleotides) under Bacteroidota bacterium. Its description in RNAcentral is "Bacteroidetes bacterium partial 16S ribosomal RNA". It matches the Rfam family "Bacterial small subunit ribosomal RNA", at positions 355 to 776 of the family's 1533-position model. Lineage: Bacteria; Pseudomonadati; Bacteroidota. The record is from RNAcentral.
UAGGGAAUCUUCCGCAAUGGACGCAAGUCUGACGGAGCAACGCCGCGUGAGUGAAGAAGGAUUUCGGUUCGUAAAACUCUGUUGUUAGAGAAGAACAGCGCAUAGAGUAACUGUUAUGCGUGUGACGGUAUCUAACCAGAAAGUCACGGCUAACUACGUGCCAGCAGCCGCGGUAAUACGUAGGUGGCAAGCGUUGUCCGGAUUUAUUGGGCGUAAAGCGAGCGCAGGCGGUCAAUUAAGUCUGAUGUGAAAGCCCCCGGCUCAACCGGGGAGGGUCAUUGGAAACUGGUUGACUUGAGUGCAGAAGAGGUGAGUGGAAUUCCAUGUGUAGCGGUGAAAUGCGUAGAUAUAUGAAGGAACACCAGUGGCGAAGGCGACUCUCUGGUCAGUAACUGACGCUGAGGCUCGAAAGCGUGGGUAGCAAACAGG